GUGUCAGCCGCCGCGGUAAUACGAAGGGGGCUAGCGUUGUUCGGAAUUACUGGGCGUAAAGGGCGCGUAGGCGGCCGAUUAAGUUAGAUGUGAAAGUCCUGGGCUCAACCUGGGGACUGCAUUUAAUACUGGUUGGCUUGAAUUCGGGAGAGGAUAGCGGAAUUCCCAGUGUAGAGGUGAAAUUCGUAGAUAUUGGGAAGAACACCGGUGGCGAAGGCGGCUAUCUGGACCGACAUUGACGCUGAGGCGCGAAAGCGUGGGGAGCAAACAGGAUUAGAUACCCCCGUAGUCC
This 292-nucleotide ribosomal RNA is filed under the name uncultured bacterium. Its description in RNAcentral is "partial 16S ribosomal RNA". It matches the Rfam family "Bacterial small subunit ribosomal RNA", at positions 505 to 796 of the family's 1533-position model. The record is from RNAcentral.